This 273-nucleotide ribosomal RNA is filed under the name uncultured bacterium. Its description in RNAcentral is "partial 16S ribosomal RNA". It matches the Rfam family "Bacterial small subunit ribosomal RNA", at positions 524 to 796 of the family's 1533-position model. The record is from RNAcentral.
UACAGAGGGUGCGAGCGUUAAUCGGAAUUACUGGGCGUAAAGCGCGCGUAGGCGGCUUUGCAAGUCGGGUGUGAAAUCCCCAGGCUUAACCUGGGAACUGCAUCCGAGACUGCAUAGCUAGAGUAUGGGAGAGGGAAGUGGAAUUUCAGGUGUAGCGGUGAAAUGCGUAGAUAUCUGAAGGAACAUCAGUGGCGAAAGCGACUUCCUGGACCAAUACUGACGCUCAUGUGCGAAAGCGUGGGGAGCAAACAGGAUUAGAAACCCCCGUAGUCC